RNAcentral lists this unclassified non-coding RNA (472 nucleotides) under uncultured Fusicolla. Its description in RNAcentral is "sequence contains ITS1, 5.8S rRNA gene, ITS2". The stretch from base 155 to 308 matches the Rfam family "5.8S ribosomal RNA". The record is from RNAcentral. Lineage: Eukaryota; Fungi; Ascomycota; Sordariomycetes; Hypocreales; Nectriaceae.
CCGAGUUUACAACUCCCAAACCCCUGUGAACAUACCUAUCGUUGCUUCGGCGGAUCCGCCCCGGUGCCUUCGGGCCCGGACUCAGGCGCCCGCCGGGGGACCCAAACUCUUGUAUUUCUUUAGUAUCUUCUGAGUAAACAAGCAAAUAAAUUAAAACUUUCAACAACGGAUCUCUUGGUUCUGGCAUCGAUGAAGAACGCAGCGAAAUGCGAUAAGUAAUGUGAAUUGCAGAAUUCCGUGAAUCAUCGAAUCUUUGAACGCACAUUGCGCCCGCCAGUAUUCUGGCGGGCAUGCCUGUUCGAGCGUCAUUUCAACCCUCAAGCCCCCGGGCUUGGUGUUGGGGCUCGGCCCGUCCCUAGCGGCGCGCCGUCCCCGAAAUCUAGUGGCGGUCACGCUGUACUCCUCUGCGUAGUAAUCUAACCUCGCAACGGGACAAAGCGCGGCCACGCCGUUAAACCCCCAACUUCUGAAG